AAUGAUGUGAAAAUGUACCAGUUGUGCU
RNAcentral lists this small RNA (28 nucleotides) under Bombyx mori (domestic silkworm). RNAcentral's name for it is "ovarian small RNA-10828". The record is from RNAcentral. Lineage: Eukaryota; Metazoa; Arthropoda; Insecta; Lepidoptera; Bombycidae.